UACGUAGGGUGCGAGCGUUGUCCGGAAUCAUUGGGCGUAAAGCGCGUGUAGGCGGCCAGAAAAGUCCGCUGUGAAAACUCGAGGCUCAACUUCGAGCUGUCGGUGGAAACUUUCUGGCUAGAGUCCGGAAGAGGAGAAUGGAAUUCCUGGUGUAGCGGUGAAAUGCGCAGAUAUCAGGAAGAACACCCGUGGCGAAGGCGGUUCUCUGGGACGGUACUGACGCUGAGACGCGAAAGCGUGGGGAGCGAACAGG
RNAcentral lists this ribosomal RNA (253 nucleotides) under uncultured bacterium. Its description in RNAcentral is "partial 16S ribosomal RNA". It matches the Rfam family "Bacterial small subunit ribosomal RNA", at positions 524 to 776 of the family's 1533-position model. The record is from RNAcentral.